This 252-nucleotide ribosomal RNA is filed under the name uncultured bacterium. RNAcentral's name for it is "partial 16S ribosomal RNA". It matches the Rfam family "Bacterial small subunit ribosomal RNA", at positions 524 to 776 of the family's 1533-position model. The record is from RNAcentral.
UACGUAGGGUGCAAGCGUUAAUCGGAAUUACUGGGCGUAAAGCGUGCGCAGGCGGUUUUGUAAGGCAGAUGUGAAAUCCCCGGGCUUAACCUGGGAACUGCGUUUGAAACUACAAGGCUAGAGUGUGACAGAGGGGGUGGAAUUCCACGUGUAGCAGUGAAAUGCGUAGAGACCCGGAGGAACACCAGUGGCGAAGGCGGCAUCCUGGUCUGCGACUGACGCUGAUGCGCGAAAGCAAGGGGAGCGAACGGG